Long non-coding RNA from Sphaerodactylus townsendi, 397 nucleotides. RefSeq lists it as uncharacterized. The transcript has 3 exons. NCBI's taxonomy places the organism in Eukaryota, Metazoa, Chordata, Lepidosauria, Squamata, Sphaerodactylidae. The record is from RefSeq and is a predicted model, not a curated record.
AAUCAAAGAACCUUUAUUGGCAUAACAAUAUCGCGGUAUUAUAUACACAGGUCCACUUAACUAAAUAGAGGGGAACUAAAAUAAAAUACAAAGAAAAAAGAGGGAAAAGUUCAGAUUUUGCUCCAAGAGCGCUGUUUCAUAUACGAAUCCAAGUAUUUGGCAACUGCGUCAUUUGCGUCACUACUGGGGUUGUCCAACAGAAAGGAAAUCUUUUGCAAGUCAGAUGCAUAUUCUUCUUUGAGUAGCAGGGAUGACAAAUAUUUAACUCUGGGUACAGCGUAAAGUGGAAAAUAAAGUAAAAUAUGGUCUAUGGAAUCUACACAAUUCCCAUUGCAUACGCAUAGCCUUUGGUGGUAAGGAGUUAUAAUAAAUUUCCCAAUUCAUAGGGCUGAUGGAA